CCUACGGGUGGCAGCAGUGAGGAAUAUUGGUCAAUGGUCGAGAGACUGAACCAGCCAAGCCGCGUGAGGGAUGAAGGUACAGAGUAUCGUAAACCUCUUUUGUCAGGGAACAAAGGCCGGGACGUGUCCCCGGAUGAGUGUACCUGAAGAAAAAGCAUCGGCUAACUCCGUGCCAGCAGCCGCGGUAAUACGGAGGAUGCGAGCGUUAUCCGGUUUUAUUGGGUUUAAGGGGUGCGCAGGCGGACGGUAAAGUCAGCGGUAAAAGCCCGGUGCUCAACCCCGUCCCGCCGUUGAAACUGGGAGGCUCGAGUUGGAGAGAAGUAUGCGGAAUGCGCGGUGUAGCGGUGAAAUGCAUAGAUAUCGCGCAGAACUCCGAUUGCGAAGGCAGCAUGCCGGC
RNAcentral lists this ribosomal RNA (397 nucleotides) under uncultured bacterium. RNAcentral describes it as "partial 16S ribosomal RNA". It matches the Rfam family "Bacterial small subunit ribosomal RNA", at positions 338 to 733 of the family's 1533-position model. The record is from RNAcentral.